CCUGAGAAACGGCUACCACAUCCAAGGAAGGCAGCAGGCGCGCAAAUUACCCACUCCCGGCACGGGGAGGUAGUGACGAAAAAUAACAAUACGGGACUCUUUUGAGGCCCCGUAAUUGAAAUGAGUACACUCUAAAUCCUUUAACGAGGAUCAAUUGGAGGGCAAGUCUGGUGCCAGCAGCCGCGGUAAUUCCAGCUCCAAUAGCGUAUACCAAAGCUGCUGCGGUUAAAAAGCUCGUAGUUGGAUCUCAGUUCCAGACGAGUAGUGCAUCUACCCUAUGCGACGGCUCGGACUGAACAUCAUGCCGGUUCUUUCUUGGUGCACUUCAUUGUGUGCCUCGAGAUGGCCGGUGCUUUUACUUUGAAAAAAUUAGAGUGCUCAACGCAGGCGAGUCGCCUGAAUAAACUUGCAUGGAAUAAUAGAACAAGACCUCGUUUCUGUUCUGUUGGUUUUUGGAAUACGAGGUAAUGAUUAAGAGGGACGGACGGGGGCAUUCGUAUUGCGGCGCUAGAGGUGAAAUUCUUGGACCGUCGCAAGACGAACUACUGCGAAAGCAUUUGCCAAGAAUGUUUUCAUUGAUCAAGAACGAAAGUCAGAGGUUCGAAGGCGAUCAGAUACCGCCCUAGUUCUGACCAUAAACGAUGCCAACCAGCGAUCCGCCUGAGUUACUCAAAUGACUCGGCGGGCAGCUUCCGGGAAACCAAAGUAUUUGGGUUCCGGGGGAAGUAUGGUUGCAAAGCUGAAACUUAAAGGAAUUGACGGAAGGGCACCACCAGGAGUGGAGCCUGCGGCUUAAUUUGACUCAACACGGGAAAACUUACCCGGCCCGGACACUGGGAGGAUUGACAGAUUGAGAGCUCUUUCUUGAUUCGGUGGAUGGUGGUGCAUGGCCGUUCUUAGUUGGUGGAGCGAUUUGUCUGGUUAAUUCCGAUAACGAACGAGACUC
Molecule: ribosomal RNA, 946 nt
Filed under: Rhipicephalus sanguineus (brown dog tick)
Lineage: Eukaryota; Metazoa; Arthropoda; Arachnida; Ixodida; Ixodidae
Description: SSU rRNA
Rfam family: Eukaryotic small subunit ribosomal RNA
Source: RNAcentral